Molecule: long non-coding RNA, 2291 nt
Filed under: Panax ginseng (ginseng)
Lineage: Eukaryota; Viridiplantae; Streptophyta; Magnoliopsida; Apiales; Araliaceae
Description: long non-coding RNA (PGIN_LNC009789)
Source: RNAcentral
GAUGAACUACUUCCCAGAUGGCCCAGAUCUUGCACAAGCCUGCAAGCAAAAUUCAGCUCCACUGAUUAGUAUGAUGAAUACUUGUCAUGAAGCAGCUGGUAACCGAUGGCCAAACUUCAUAAGUAUUGAUUUUUACAAGGUAUUUAUAGUUUAUGAAAGUUAUUUUCAACAUAUAUUGGUGGUCGAUUCAAAAACAAUUGGUACCUAAUGAGAUUAUUAGUAAUUUAUCUAUAUUUGCAGAGGAGUGAUGGAGGGGGAGCCCCUGCUGCUGUAGAUAUGGCAAAUGGACAGCUCGUUUGUGGGUGUGAAAACAUCGGAUAUUGCAAGGUCUGUAAGAAUAAAUAAAUUUAAAUUGAAGUGUUUCUGUUUUGAAUUUUAUUCAAGGAUGUUAACAAGUUGUGGUAGUUGGGAAUCUAGUAAAGAUAAAUUCUUUAAUGAUCUUCUAAAUUACCCCUGUAUUGGAGCAUUAACUAAGAUGAAUUAAUAUUGAUAUCUUGAAACUGUAAUGUAAAGGCAAACAUGACUGUCGGAGCAUGUAUCAAAGUACCAGAGGCUGGUGAUACUCCGGUAACAGCGGCAGGGGAAAAAACCAGUUUUGCUAACGUGGAUUGCAGACCAAUCAAAUUGCAGUGGUUAUUUGGGGUACUUUUCAUGGCCAUUACCUUGUUUUCAUGAAUAUGGAUCCUUACCAUGUGCACUAAUUUCGGGUUAUUCCACUUGAAACAAGUAUCAAAUGACAUCUUACCAAGUUAUAGGUAUUGUUUGUAGUGUUACCAUGUGACUAUGGGGAAAAAAAAGAAAAAAACCUUAGUAUGAGUUGUCAUUCUAGCUUUUACUUAUGUGAAAUUGUGAAUAGCAGAUGCGCCAGGUUUGAUUGCAUUUUAAUGUAUUUAACAUCCCUUCUCCCACAUCUUUGUAUUAAGUGGUCUUUUGAAUAGUUAUCCUCUAAUAGUUUAGACUCAUAUUUAUAUCUUAACUAUUCAGAGGAUCACUUAAUACAAAGAGGUGGGCUCUUAAGAUGCCUUAAGAGAUGGACUGUUAAGAUGGUUUACGAAGUGGACUUUUAAGAUGCAUUAAGAUGUAAUCAAACACCAAUAGUUGUAUGUGAUGUUGGUUCUUGCAACUUCUAUGCAAAUUGCAGUGGAAGUUAGAAAAAACUCAAAAAAGUGUUAUUUCUUGGACAAUUGAUAACCACCUGCAAUAGAUUGUUGGUGGCAAGUGAUUUGUCUAAUGUGGUUUGAAUACCUGAGAAUAAAUGAAGUCAUGUUUAUGUUCAUUUUUUUGAAAAUACUUUGAACUUUUUUGGAAAUAUUUGAUAAUUGUAAAGAUUUGUUAAAAAUAUAUAUUGUAUAUUUAAUUUUUAAUAACAAAAAUAUAAUGUAUAAGUAUAAUUUCUGCAUGUCUCAAAACUUAAUAUAGUUUCAGCAUGUCUCAAAAGUUACUUAGCAGUACCGUGGAGUGGAAAAAUUGUCGCUUAACAUUGGAGUCAGUUAGGGGCCGUCCUGGCAGCCCACACAAGAAGAUAAACGUCUAUUGUGAUAAAUCUUGCAAAUUUAUAGAAGCUUUCAUAAGGUAAUUUUUUUGGAUAACUUACCAACCCUCUUGAACAAAUGACAAAUUUAAAAAAGUAGUCAAGUACAGUACAUACGAGAGCAGAUCUUCUGUUCCUAAAUUUCCUAUCCUCCUUGUGUUCCCCCACUUAAAUUUUGACACAUGUCUUUUUAUUUAAUUUUAGAAUUAAUUAAUAUUAAGUAAGAGAUUAGGUGUCAAAAUUUAAGUAGAGGGACACAAGAGGACAAAAAAAAUUAGAGACAGGAUCUGCUCUCCGGUACAUACAUCCACUCUAAUUACUCAUAUUUGAAUGCAUAUAUGGGUCUAAAAGAGUUAGGCCUGAUCCAUGGAUUGAAUCCACAUCAUACUAUUGGGCUUGGACCUACUUAUUUAGAAUAAAUUGUCCCGACUUCAUGCAAGAAUGCAUGUAAUAUAAGUGCCAAUUUGCAAAGCCUAAAACCAUGUGGACUACAAGAUUUAGUUGGUAUAAUUCGCUAAUAAGAAGAGUCUUAAUCAUUUAAAUUAAAGAAAGUAACCAUGUCAGAAGAAACAGAAGGCGCACCGCUCAAGACACCGUCAUUCGUCUAAAUUUAGAGAGUCGAGGUUAAUGAUACAUUAACCUGCACCAAGCUCAACCCAAAUCCUUCUAAACAAAAACAAGCGCUCUGAUCUAAAACUCAUUUGUUGCUUCAUUAAACUAAUUAAUGCACUAAUAAGAUGUCUCUAGCACGUUGUUUAGG